AUGAAUGCUGCCGAUAGGUACCAAGAGGAAGCUAAGAAGCAAAUUAGGGCAAAGGCAGAGGAAUUGGAGAACACGAGGAAGGCAGGUCUGAUGCUAAUGAACACCGCUGAUACAUACCAAGAAGCGGCAAUGAAGCAAAUUAAGGAGAAGGCGGGGGAGCUGGAGGACGCGAGGAAGGCGGUUUUGGCGCUCAUGAAAGCAGCAGAUGCGUACCAGGAAGAAGCGAAGAAGAAAAUUAAGGAUAAGGUGCAGGAGCUGAAGGUCAUGGGGGCACAGAAGGCAGAGCUGGAUGCGAGGGUAGAAUCUUUGGAGUCAAGGCUCAAGGCAGCUCUGGCAAAGAACUUGGAGUUGGAGGAUGAUUAUGGUAAGGUGCAGGCUGCAAAUGAUAACCUUCGGCUGGAGGUUGAGAAAGAUGCAUCUGCAAAGGCAUUUGAUGCUGAGAAGGAAGAAAUCUUGACGGAAUUGGAGGACCUUAAGAUGAAGGUGGAGGUAACUCAAGCCAACAAGGAUUUGAUGGAGGGUGAAAAUGAUAAACUUCAAUUGGACGCUUUCACAGGAAUAUAG
This 564-nucleotide ribosomal RNA is filed under the name Triticum aestivum (bread wheat). Its description in RNAcentral is "partial small subunit ribosomal RNA". Lineage: Eukaryota; Viridiplantae; Streptophyta; Magnoliopsida; Poales; Poaceae. The record is from RNAcentral.